Long non-coding RNA from Haliotis rubra (blacklip abalone), 89 nucleotides. RefSeq lists it as uncharacterized. The record is from RefSeq and is a predicted model, not a curated record. The transcript has 3 exons. NCBI's taxonomy places the organism in Eukaryota, Metazoa, Mollusca, Gastropoda, Lepetellida, Haliotidae.
AGCAUGCUAUAGGCUGUUGACCUAUUCUAGAUACAAAUGUCUACACUGAGUCAAACAUCAUAUGCUGUUCACCUAUUCUAGAUACAAAU